This 1432-nucleotide long non-coding RNA is filed under the name Oryctolagus cuniculus (rabbit). Its description in RNAcentral is "lncRNA (ENSOCUG00000031767.1)". Lineage: Eukaryota; Metazoa; Chordata; Mammalia; Lagomorpha; Leporidae. The record is from RNAcentral.
AAAGGACUGAAAGCUGAGGACUUUGAUUGGAUGAAAAGCAUGUCAAUCUGCACUUAUCAGCAAAUGAGCUUAGAGCUCAUGAAUGAGGGUAGCUGCCUUUUGUCAAACUUUUCGAAUUCUGCUCCAAUAACCGACAGUCUGAAUCUUUCCCACCGUAUUCGUGGCCAUUUCAGGAAUAGUGAUCUAUUCCUCUGGCUGGUCCCCUUUAUUUCCUAUCUCAGUGCCGCCACCAGCACCAUGACAGUCCGUUGUACUCUGUGCUGCCCCCACCAAAUCCCGGCAUGCCUUGGGGCCAACGAUCACUCUCUCAGUGGCCGUUACUUAAGCCGCCGCCAUCUUUGCUGCUUUAGUCACAGCAGUUCCUCUCACAGCGCUGGUUGAGGUCCUGACUGGUGUUGUCCCUAUCGCCAUGUCUCCCACAAGAAGGGGAGCUCAGGGACCACGCGGCCAGAAUGAAGCUGGCGGAGAGGCGGUCCAGAACCCUAGAUCCUUCUGGGGCACUCUGUUGUUUGUGGAAUGGGUGGCCACCAUCACAGGGGCCCUGGCUUCUAGGGCUUUCCAAGUGGUUGUAAACGCCCUUAGGGAAAAGGAGGAGGAAGGACAGGAGGCAGCCCAGACCGAGGCUGAGGAGAGUGGGGAUAUACAGCCAGUAGAAGGCGAUGAGGAGAAAGUGCUGAGAGAGGAGGAAGACGAGGAGGAGUAUGGGGAAGGAGAAAAAGAGGUUGAUGAUAAGGAGGAGGAAGAAGUUGAGGAUGACGACGAUGAGGAGGAGGAAGGAGAGGAGGAAGAAAUUGAGGAGGAGGAGGGAGAAGUAGGGGAGAAGGAAAGAACAAUUGUAGAGCAGGAUAAGGACAAAGACGAAGGCGAGGCUGAGGAUGACGACGGCAGAGAGAAGGAAGAAAGUAAAAAUGAUGAGGAUGAGGAGAAAGUGCACUACCUCAAGGGUGAACAAGAUGCGAGCGCCUAUUUUCCCGAGACUAGAGUACUGGAAGGUACUACCAAGAGUAAGCUGCGAAACUAUUUGUGUGACUUUCUGGAUUCAAAGUUCAUAUUCUUCAGUGAAGAGGAGUCUGAAGGCAAGGAUGAAGACUCUGCUGAAGAGUUUGAAGAAUCUGAAAGCAAGCGAGAGGAUGACGAUGAAGAAAGAGGACGCAGAAAGGAUCGCCACUCAAAAGGCAGCUUCUUUUAGGAAGCCAGCUGAGAGACAUAGAAAGAAGUGGAUGGAGAAAGAAAAAAUGAAUUUAUUCUUCAAGGAUUUUACAGUUUUCAGUAACUCCAAACUACUGGUUUUGUUUCAUUGCAAAAAAUGACAUUGGCUGACAUCUGACCUUACUUUUUUUGCCUUUUAUAAAUACGUUUGAUAAUGUUUAUUCAUGUUAAAAAAUAUAUAAAAAUACAAAAAUAAAAGUUUGUUUGCAAUAAAUGAGCUGCA